This 536-nucleotide ribosomal RNA is filed under the name Klebsiella pneumoniae. Its description in RNAcentral is "partial 23S ribosomal RNA". It matches the Rfam family "Bacterial large subunit ribosomal RNA", at positions 2407 to 2925 of the family's 2925-position model. The record is from RNAcentral. Lineage: Bacteria; Pseudomonadati; Pseudomonadota; Gammaproteobacteria; Enterobacterales; Enterobacteriaceae.
AGGUCAUAGUGAUCCGGUGGUUCUGAAUGGAAGGGCCAUCGCUCAACGGAUAAAAGGUACUCCGGGGAUAACAGGCUGAUACCGCCCAAGAGUUCAUAUCGACGGCGGUGUUUGGCACCUCGAUGUCGGCUCAUCACAUCCUGGGGCUGAAGUAGGUCCCAAGGGUAUGGCUGUUCGCCAUUUAAAGUGGUACGCGAGCUGGGUUUAGAACGUCGUGAGACAGUUCGGUCCCUAUCUGCCGUGGGCGCUGGAGAAUUGAGGGGGGCUGCUCCUAGUACGAGAGGACCGGAGUGGACGCAUCACUGGUGUUCGGGUUGUCAUGCCAAUGGCACUGCCCGGUAGCUAAAUGCGGAAGAGAUAAGUGCUGAAAGCAUCUAAGCACGAAACUUGCCCCGAGAUGAGUUCUCCCUGAGACUUUAAGUCUCCUGAAGGAACGUUAAAGACGAUGACGUUGAUAGGCCGGGUGUGUAAGCGCAGCGAUGCGUUGAGCUAACCGGUACUAAUGAACCGUGAGGCUUAACCUUACAACGCCGAAG